Non-coding RNA from Notechis scutatus (mainland tiger snake), 262 nucleotides. NCBI's taxonomy places the organism in Eukaryota, Metazoa, Chordata, Lepidosauria, Squamata, Elapidae. The record is from RefSeq and is a predicted model, not a curated record.
ACAAUGCUAUCACAUUUCCACUUAGUUUUUCUUCCCUCUGCUGGUAGAUGCUUCUUUUCUUCUUUUGGGGAAAAAAAUAUUACAGUUCCUUUCCCUAGAAACUAUGGAAAUUGGAUGGUUAAAGAAAAAAAUCAGGAUGAUGGCUAUAAUCAUGUUGUUGAAGCCUUAUCUUUGUGAGUGUGUUUGUAUUUCUGCAUUUGUAUGCACUUGAAAGAAGAAGAAAAAGAAAGAAAGAGAGAGAGAGAGAGAGAGAGAGAGAGAG